This 274-nucleotide ribosomal RNA is filed under the name uncultured bacterium. RNAcentral's name for it is "partial 16S ribosomal RNA". It matches the Rfam family "Bacterial small subunit ribosomal RNA", at positions 523 to 796 of the family's 1533-position model. The record is from RNAcentral.
AUACGUAGGGUCCAAGCGUUAUUCGGAUUUACUGGGCGUAAAGCGUGCGUAGGCGGCUAUAUAAGUUAGAUGUUAAAUCUGCGGGCUCAACUCGUAGGCCGCAUCUAAUACUGUAUAGCUCGAGAAUGGAAGAGGCAGAUGGAAUUUCUGGUGGAGCGGUUAUAUGCGUAGAUAUCAGAAGGAACACCAAUGGCGAAGGCAGUCUGCUGGGCCAUUUCUGACGCUAAGGCACGAAAGCGUGGGGAGCGAUCGGGAUUAGAAACCCGAGUAGUCC